GACGAACGCUGGCGGCGUGCCUAAUACAUGCAAGUAGAACGCUGAAGGAGGAGCUUGCUUCUCCGGAUGAGUUGCGAACGGGUGAGUAACGCGUAGGUAACCUGCCUGGUAGCGGGGGAUAACUAUUGGAAACGAUAGCUAAUACCGCAUAACAGUAGGUGUUGCAUGACAUUUGCUUAAAAGGUGCAAUUGCAUCACUACCAGAUGGACCUGCGUUGUAUUAGCUAGUUGGUGAGGUAACGGCUCACCAAGGCGACGAUACAUAGCCGACCUGAGAGGGUGAUCGGCCACACUGGGACUGAGACACGGCCCAGACUCCUACGGGAGGCAGCAGUAGGGAAUCUUCGGCAAUGGACGGAAGUCUGACCGAGCAACGCCGCGUGAGUGAAGAAGGUUUUCGGAUCGUAAAGCUCUGUUGUAAGAGAAGAACGAGUGUGAGAGUGGAAAGUUCACACUGUGACGGUAUCUUACCAGAAAGGGACGGCUAACUACGUG
Molecule: ribosomal RNA, 495 nt
Filed under: uncultured bacterium
Lineage: Bacteria
Description: partial 16S ribosomal RNA
Rfam family: Bacterial small subunit ribosomal RNA
Source: RNAcentral